CAGGAAUUACCCCUGAGUCUCAGGAAGACAUCCCUUGAUGAAGUGGACACCCAGACAGAAUUUUACUCUGACAGUAAGAAGAAAACAGACAGUGCUUUUUACUCAGUUGUGCAAUGAUGGUCUCUUCACUUCAGAAAGUCAUCUAACAAUAGCCCAGUCAAAAUUUCUGUCUUCUAUUUCUUGCCCUUCUGGAGGAAAAAUAUAUCAGAAAUAUUGUCAUAACCUUUAAAGAAGACAGUGCAUAAUCACCUAGUAAUAAUUCAGAUGCAGCGGAAUAUGGAGGGCAUCAGAGACUGGACCACAGCACUGACUUUUUUUCUGAGGCUUUUGAACAUAAUGGGCGUCCCUAUUCUCUUUUGGUGUACAUUCCAAGCAGAGUGGCCCUCAUCCUUCAGAAUGUGGAUCUGCCGAAUUGAAGAGGCCUGAUUUCAGCUCCACCAGAUGCAGAUUUGUGUUUUGUUUUCUUGUUAUCACUGUCACACAGCUUAUAACAUGUAUGCUUUUCAGAAUACAGUUGUCUAGCCAAGCCAUCAAGUGUCUGAAAUUCAAUAUUGGUUUAUGCAAAUACAGCAAACUUUUAUUUAAGUAGAUGGGAGAAUAUGUUUAAAAUAUUAGGAAUCCUAGACCAUAUUUUCAAGUCAUCUUAGCAGCUAGGAUUCUCAAAUGGAAGUGUUAUAUAUAAUAUGUUAAAAACAUUUUGCUUUCCUGGCUAAUUAUUUGAUCCUUUUAAAUUCAAAUUUGAAUCAUUUGUCAUGUAUGAUUAUUUCUGUUAAAUGUACACAGUAUUUAAGAUGGAUAUUUGGUGGCUCUAUUUGUUCUGAUAUCUUUUGGUCUAAAUUAUGAGGUACCAAGAUUGUUUCUUUGUUUCUUUUUUUCAAAUUGUGUUUAGAAAUACUGUAAUAAAUAUGCAGUAGUGAUAUAAAGAAUUAUAUCCAAGGUAAUAUAAAAGCCAUUACGUAUGAACUCAUCCGUGUCUCAUUUUGUGUUUUAUUUUGUGAUCUCUUGUCCACUAAGUAUCUUGUUAAAUGCCAGUAUCUCAGUCUUUCUGAAGCCCUGAAAUGGUAAUUGUAGCAUUUCAGAAAAUGUCUUUCAUUUCAAUCAAUAAAAAGCUUUUGUAAAAUUGCCUUUGCUAAUGUUUAUUUUGCUAUACUAUUAUAGGGCUUGAUUAUAAAUGAAUAUUAUUGUAUUCUUAUACCUUCUAAUACCUUCUUAACUCUAAUACCUUCUCCACAUACAUUCACAUCUACAUGAUGG
Molecule: long non-coding RNA, 1254 nt
Filed under: Homo sapiens (human)
Lineage: Eukaryota; Metazoa; Chordata; Mammalia; Primates; Hominidae
Description: HSALNT0056703
Source: RNAcentral